Molecule: ribosomal RNA, 393 nt
Filed under: uncultured bacterium
Lineage: Bacteria
Description: bacterial SSU rRNA
Rfam family: Bacterial small subunit ribosomal RNA
Source: RNAcentral
UGGGGAAUCUUGCACAAUGGAGGAAACUCUGAUGCAGCGACGCCGCGUGAGCGAAGAAGCCUUUCGGGGUGUAAAGCUCUUACGCAAGGGACGAUAAUGACGGUACCUGGAGAAGCAGCUGCGGCUAACUACGUGCCAGCAGCCGCGGUAAUACGUAGGCAGCAAGCGUUGUUCGGAAUUACUGGGCGUAAAGGGUGCGUAGGCGGCGCUCUAAGUUUGGUGUGAAAUCUCCCGGCUUAACUGGGAGGGUGCACUGAAAACUGGGGCGCUCGAGUAUGGGAGAGGAAGGCGGAAUUCCUGGUGUAGCGGUGAAAUGCGUAGAGGUCAGGAGGAACACCUGCGGUGCAGACGGCUUUCUGGACCAUCACUGGCGCUGAGGCACGAAAGCGUGGG